This 411-nucleotide ribosomal RNA is filed under the name uncultured bacterium. RNAcentral describes it as "bacterial SSU rRNA". It matches the Rfam family "Bacterial small subunit ribosomal RNA", at positions 508 to 921 of the family's 1533-position model. The record is from RNAcentral.
UCAGCCGCCGCGGUAAUACGGAGGGUGCAAGCGUUAUCCGGAUUCACUGGGUUUAAAGGGUGCGUAGGCGGGCAGGUAAGUCAGUGGUGAAAUCCUAGAGCUUAACUCUAGAACUGCCAUUGAUACUAUCUGUCUUGAAUAUUGUGGAGGUAAGCGGAAUAUGUCAUGUAGCGGUGAAAUGCUUAGAUAUGACAUAGAACACCUAUUGCGAAGGCAGCUUACUACGCAUAUAUUGACGCUGAGGCACGAAAGCGUGGGGAUCAAACAGGAUUAGAUACCCUGGUAGUCCACGCCCUAAACGAUGGAUACUCGACAUACGCGAUACACUGUGUGUGUCUGAGCGAAAGCAUUAAGUAUCCCACCUGGGAAGUACGACCGCAAGGUUGAAACUUAAAGGAAUUGGCGGGGGAC